ACCACUGGUAUAGAAUUCAAAUCAAGAUUUCAAACUGGAAGAGACCUUAAAGUGAUCUAGUUCUUUUUUUUUUUUUAUUUAAGAAAUGAAGAAACUGAGGCUGAGAGAGUCUAAUUGAUUGUCCCAGAAUCUUGCUCUGAGAUGCAGCCAAAUAAUUUCCUGACACCUGAUGUUCCAGGGCACCUUUGCACCGACUGUCUUCCAAGUCUAGAAUGAACUACCACCUCCACCUCACAGAAUACCACAGCUCUUCCUUCAAGAUGCAAAUCAGGGAAAAGAAUAAAUGCAAAGGCUGAGGACUGAGCCCCAUUUCUCCUACCAGAGACAUCUUUACCAGGAACAGAGGAGCCUCAGUAGGACUGAAGCAAGACAGACAUGGUGGAAGCAGCCUAGACCGCUGGAAUUGACUACCUCUACAGCCAAUCAAAAAGAAUCGGACUCACUAUGUGUUGGAAUGUGGAUUUCUUAAGAGCAAAGAACAGCUUGAUUUUCCAUUUGUAUUCUCAGCCAGAAAGGACACAGUGACAUCAAGAGAAUUUAACAGAGACUGUCCAGCUGACCACCAGUGAAGAAAUGAUUUGAAGUUCUAUAAAUAUGAGAAACAAGAACAACCAAGAACUUAGCUAUCCACGUGGCAAGAAAGAAAUAUAUGGCUAACCUGAACCCUUCCUUUCUUCAGUAUAAAUCAUUUCAUUUUAGAUUAUCAUCAGUACAUUUGGUCCCACAGAAGCUCUUGUACUAUAAAACUUUAAU
Monodelphis domestica (gray short-tailed opossum) is the source of this 753-nucleotide non-coding RNA. Lineage: Eukaryota; Metazoa; Chordata; Mammalia; Didelphimorphia; Didelphidae. The record is from RefSeq and is a predicted model, not a curated record.